GUGUCAGCAGCCGCGCGGUAAUACGAAGGGACCUAGCGUUGUUCGGAAUUAUUGGGCUUAAAGAGUUCGUAGGUGGUUGAACAAGUUGGUGGUGAAAUCCCAGAGCUUAACUCUGGAAUGGCCAUCGAUACUUUUGUGACUAAGUUUGAUAGAGGAAGAGUGGUUUCUAGUGUGUAGGUGAAAUUCGUAGAUAUUAGAAAAAAAACCAAUUGCGAAGGCGGCUUUCUGGAUCAAUACUGACACUGAGGAACGAAAGCAUGGGUAGCGAAGAGGAUUAGAUACCCUCGUAGUCCAUGCCGUAAACGAUGUGUGUUAAACGUUGGAAAUUUAUUUUCAGUGUUCUGCGAAAGCGAUAAACACACCGCCUGGGGAGUACGACCGUACGGUUAAAACUCUAAUGAAUUGACGGGGACCCGCACCAGUAGUGGAGCAUGUGAUUUAAUUCCAAGAUUCGCGCAUAACCUUACCAACUUUUGACAUGUUCAUCGAGACUUUAAAAGAUUAAAGAUUUCAGGUCGGCCGGACGAAACACCAGUGCUGCCUGGCUGUCCUCAGCUCGUGGCCUGAGAUGUUGGGGUAAGUCCCCCCACCAGCGCAACCCUCUGUUUUAUGUGGCAUCAUUUAAAUGUUCACUCUGAAAGAGAUGCUGCUGAUGAUCUGGAGGAAGGUGGUGGAUGACGACGUCUCCUCAUGGUGCUUCUUAGGUCCAGCUACUGCCCUGCUGCUAUGGUGUCUAGUACAACGAGUUGGACGGUGACGAGGUGCAGCUCCUCUAAUAGAUACCUGACUUCGGAUUGAUCUCAGUCUGUCGAGUGAAUGAAUCUGGAUGUACUAGCAAUCAAUGGAUCAAUGUGCCACGUUGAGUGAAUACGUGCUCGGGCUCACACCGCCCGUCCAUCCAUACG
RNAcentral lists this ribosomal RNA (905 nucleotides) under uncultured bacterium. Its description in RNAcentral is "bacterial SSU rRNA". It matches the Rfam family "Bacterial small subunit ribosomal RNA", at positions 505 to 1408 of the family's 1533-position model. The record is from RNAcentral.